RNAcentral lists this ribosomal RNA (524 nucleotides) under uncultured bacterium. Its description in RNAcentral is "bacterial SSU rRNA". It matches the Rfam family "Bacterial small subunit ribosomal RNA", at positions 25 to 518 of the family's 1533-position model. The record is from RNAcentral.
CAGGACGAACGCUGGCGGCGUGCCUAAUACAUGCAAGCCGAACGGUCUUUCUAUGGAAGCUUGCUUCCACUGAGAAGAUAGUGGCGAACGGGUGAGUAACACGUGGGUAACCUGCCCAUAAGAGGGGGGAUAACAUCCGGAAACGGGUGCUAAUACCGCAUAGUUUUUCUUGAUCGCAUGAUCGGGAAAGGAAAGACGGCCUUUGUGCUGUCGCUUAUGGAUGGACCCGCGGCGUAUUAGUUAGUUGGUGAGGUAACGGCUCACCAAGACGAUGAUACGUAGCCGACCUGAGAGGGUGAUCGGCCACAUUGGGACUGAGACACGGCCCAAACUCCUACGGGAGGCAGCAGUAGGGAAUCUUCCGCAAUGGACGAAAGUCUGACGGAGCAACGCCGCGUGAGUGAAGAAAAGGUUUUUCGGAUCGUAAAACUCUGUUGUCAGAGAAGAACAAGUUGGAGAGUAACUGCUCCAGCCUUGACGGUAUCUGACCAGAAAGCCACGGCUAACUACGUGCCAGCCGCAGC